UGGGGAAUAUUGCACAAUGGGCGCAAGCCUGAUGCAGCCAUGCCGCGUGUAUGAAGAAGGCCUUCGGGUUGUAAAGUACUUUCAGUCGGGAGGAAGGUGGUAAGGUUAAUAACCUUAUCAAUUGACGUUACCGACAGAAGAAGCACCGGCUAACUCCGUGCCAGCAGCCGCGGUAAUACGGAGGGUGCAAGCGUUAAUCGGAAUUACUGGGCGUAAAGCGCACGCAGGCGGUUGAUUGAGUCAGAUGUGAAAUCCCCGGGCUCAACCUGGGAACUGCAUCUGAUACUGGCAAGCUUGAGUCUCGUAGAGGGGGGUAGAAUUCCAGGUGUAGCGGUGAAAUGCGUAGAGAUCUGGAGGAAUACCGGUGGCGAAUGCGGCCCCCUGGACGAAGACUGACGCUCAGGUGCGAAAGCGUGGGGAGCAAACAGG
RNAcentral lists this ribosomal RNA (429 nucleotides) under Chloroflexota bacterium. Its description in RNAcentral is "Chloroflexi bacterium partial 16S ribosomal RNA". It matches the Rfam family "Bacterial small subunit ribosomal RNA", at positions 355 to 776 of the family's 1533-position model. Lineage: Bacteria; Bacillati; Chloroflexota. The record is from RNAcentral.